CAAGGGCUCAUCACCCAUGGGUAGGUAAAGAAGAGGCAUGGAGGUGAAUGCAGGCAGCAGCUUUCAGGGAAGAAGAAGCAUCAGGCUGCAGACCUUGCCUCCUCCCUGCCCUGAUGGCAGGACUGAGGCCUCCCAGGGAUGAAGAAACUGAGGCUGAGGCAGUUCAACAACUUGCCCAAGGCCACGCAGCAGAGCUUUAUCUCUGCGGACCUGGAGCUGCUGGUCACCAUGGAAACAGAAGCUUUUGUUCACCACUUCCUCUUCUCUUUUUCUCGCUCCCCACCCCUCGUCUUUCCUUCCUCUCCUCACACCCACUUGCCCUCCUCUCUACUUUCUUUCCUCUAUUUUUAUUCCUAAUUUUCUAUCUCACUUGCCCUGAUUUCCUCAUCUAUUUAUUUAAAAC
This 403-nucleotide long non-coding RNA is filed under the name Homo sapiens (human). RNAcentral describes it as "HSALNT0360479". The record is from RNAcentral. Lineage: Eukaryota; Metazoa; Chordata; Mammalia; Primates; Hominidae.